This 3314-nucleotide long non-coding RNA is filed under the name Homo sapiens (human). RNAcentral describes it as "novel transcript". Lineage: Eukaryota; Metazoa; Chordata; Mammalia; Primates; Hominidae. The record is from RNAcentral.
GGCUCGCGCACGGUGCGCGCACCCACUGACUUGCGCCCACUGUCUGGCACUCCCUAGUGAGAUGAACCCAGUACCUCAGAUGGAAAUGCAGAAAUCACCCGUCUUCUGCGUCGCUCACGCUGGGAGCUGUAGACCGGAGCUGUUCCUAUUCGGCCAUCUUGACUCCUCUCUGCCGGACUUUUCUUUAAGAAAAUCUUCUGCCACUGUUAUAAAAGACAGCAAGAUCAAUCACUCCUCUUCCACAUCCUCUUACUGUGAAGAUAAUAAGGUUGAAGACCUUGAUGAUGAUCUACUUUCACUUGAACAGCAAAUUGGACCAUCUAGUUGCAGGAAAACAAGUUCAGGGCUCCCACUGAUUCUACAUUAUGAUGCUAUUUCUGGAGCUGUUAGUCAUGACUAGCUCUGCAUUAAAAUUUGACUGAAGCUGCAUGUAUGUAUUAAAUCAGUGAGUACCUUGAACUUUAUGUUAUUUAAGAAGAUUGGGAAAUAUGAUAUUUCAGGGAAUAAUGUUAAUAUAUAAUUGACACACACAUUCCAAAUAAUAUGAAGGAUAUAGUUUUCUAUAGAAAUUUAUACCAGUAACUUUGAAUUUUCAGAGAGAGUGUCUAGUAUGGAUUUUAUGAUGCUUAAGCAUUAUUAAUAGCAAUAUUUUUAUAUUAAAAUGAUAGUAAUUUUCAGUUGAUCAGAAAUUAAAAUCUAGUUAAUUCUAUUAUUGAAUGUGUUUGUAUUUGUCUAUGUGUAAUAGCAUGUGUGUACAGUACAUGCAUGCACAUAUACACACAUUAACACAUACACUAUAUAUAUUUACACACAGAUGUAUGUGGUGUACAUAUAAGAGGGGACUUCAAAAAUUUCAUAGAAAAAUUGAAUUAAAAGAUAAAAAUAGAAAAAAUCUCUCAACAUAAAGAAACAUCUGAUUAAAAAACUUAAUGUUAAGAAAACAUUCAUGAAGAAAAGGAAUUAAAAGAUAAAAAUUCAAAAAACAUUUCUCAACAUAAAGCUCCGUCAAGUUCAAAACACUUUUGUAGCAAUGAAACCAGCCAUUUAGUCUAUCACUAAAGAACUGAGUUUCCUAGAAAUUUAACCAUGUAAAUGCAAUCUUUUUUACAUUAUCAACUGAAGAACAAGGGCUUCCUUUAUGAAUUUUUAAGAUUAGGAAACAGAAAGAAUUCAGAAAUAGCCAAAUCAUGAUUGCAAGGUAGGUACGUAAUGAUAUCCCAUCAAAAUUCUUUCAAAAUGGCCGUUGUUUGAUGAAAGAAAUGAGCAGGAGAAUUGACAUGGUGGAGAAGGACUCUCUAGUGAAUGUUUCUCAGCCAUUUUUCUGCUAAAGUUUUGGUUAACUUUCUUGAAGCACUCUCAUAAUAAGCAUGUUAUGAUUGUUUGGCACUCCAGAAAGACCCAAUGCAUUUAGCAUCCCCAUAAAACUGUUGUUGCCAGGAUCAUUGCUCUUGACCAGUCCACUUAUACUUUGACUGGACCACUUCCACCACUUGGUAGCCAUUGCUUUGAUUGUGCUUUGUCUUUAGGAUUGUACUGGUAAAGCUGUGUUACAUCUCUCAAUAUAAUUCUUUGAAGAAAUACUUCAGGAUCUUGAUCCCACUUGUUUAAAAUUUCAUUGAAAUUCUGCUUUUGUCCUCAGCUGAUCUGGGUGCAAUGGUCUGACACUCAUUGAAUGGAAAGUUUGCUUAACUUUAAAUUUCACUCAGAAUUAUGUAAGCUGAACAAAUUGAAAUGCCUAUGGUGUUGACUAUUGCUUCUGGUGUUAUCAGUUCUUUUCAAUUAGGGCAUGAACAAGAUGAACUUUUCCUCACAAAUUGAUGUGGAUGAUCUGUCGCUGCAGGCUUCAUCUUCAACAUUGUCUUGUCCCUUCUUAGAAUGGAUUAUUCAUUUGUAUACUGCUAAUUUGGGAUAGAGGAGCAUUUUCCCCGUAAAGCAUUUCAUAAAGUAUCAAUGAUUUUACCAUUUCUUCCACCCAACUACACCAUAAUUUGAUAUUUGUUCUUGGUCAAUUUUAGCAGAAUUCAUGUUGCUCUGACAAGGGCUUUUGUCAAACUGAUGUCUUACCCAUCUUAGUGACUCAGACUAGAUCUUGUUUAUACAUGUUUUAACAAGGUGUAUGACUUUAUUUUGGUGCAAAAUCUUUUUGAAAUCCAUGAAUAGUUUUUGUAUAAUAUGCAUUUUUAUGAUAUCUUUGAAAACCCUCGUGUGUGUGUGUUUGUGUCUAUGGCAUGCCCUAUAUAUGUGGAAGGAUAAAUCUGUAAAUGCAUGCACUAAUAUGGACUACAGAUGUGAACUAUAUCUCCAUGUACAUAUGUAUCUCUAUAUACAUGUGCAUUUAUGGAUGAAAUAUUUAUUGCCUACUGUGUGUUAAGUGACUGUGCUCUUAGCUAUGCAAAUGAUUUCAACUGAUGUUUUUUCCCUAUCCCAUCUAUUUACUAUCCUCUAACUUGUUCCAAAAAAUAGGAUACAGGAUAAAUAACUGAAAUUGUUUUUUGAAUGAGAUUGCAGUCGAUAUAUGAUUUAGAGGACCAAGCAGGCAAAGAAUUUGUAUAUUCAAUCAAUGCCUCUUAGUUGGUGAUAGUUGUUUUUUUUUUUUUUAUUUUUUUUUAUUUUUUUUUUUUUUGAGACAGAGUCUCGCUCUGUCGCCCAGGCUGGAGUGCAGUGGCGCGAUCUCGGCUCACUGCAAGCUCCGCCUCCUGGGUUCACGCCAUUCUCCUGCCUCAGCCUCCCGAGUAGCUGGGACUACAGGCGCCCGCCACCACGCCCCGCUAAUUUUUUUUUUUGUAUUUUUAGUAGAGACGGGGUUUCACCGUGUUAGCCAGGAAGGUCUCGAUCUCCUGACCUCGUGAUCCGCCCGCCUCGGCCUCCCAAAGUGCUGGGAUUACAGGCGUGAGCCACCGCGCCCGGCCGGUGAUAGUUGUUUUUUAGAAUUUUUUCCCCUUAUCACAAGACUGAAAUGAAAAUUGAUGCAAUCACAUGAUGGAAUAUUUGUUCAAUCUGACAGAUUAAUGGUCUAGGAAGAAAAAAUUAAUUUUGAUUUCACCAAAGAAAAACAGUUUGUUGAAAAUCAAUCAGUUCUCAUACAUAGCUAAGAAAAUAUUCACUGCUUUUCAAGCCAUCAAAUGCUUUUAAUAAAUAUCUAAAACAAGGUGGUUAAAAUGUCAACUAGCACUUUUAUUAAGUAUUUUUCUGGAUUUAAAAAGAGAAAUGUCAUAGCAUAUCCUAUCUUCUAGAUUUGUAUUCUCUUGGUCAAGAGCAAGCAUGAGCAAGCCUCUGAAGAGCUGCAUCUCUAACUGCAAGCAUCCCCACGUACU